CUCUCAUCUGAUAAUGUACCCUACAAGGUAAUCUAACUUAGCGAUGUUGAACUACAUGCCAUCCUCUCAAAAGUGUUUCGAUCAUUAAGAGUAUUGCAUCCUAAAAAUGUAAAACAGAGCAUACCUUGUAGACAGCUCCAUAACCCCCUUCUCCUAACUUGUUUGAAGGACUGAAGUAGUCUGUGGCAGCUCUCAACUCAGCAUAGCUAAAUGUGUUUGGUCUAGGACCAAUUGCAAGAAGCACUGCAGAGUCAAGGCAAGUAGUGGGCUGUAAGUUCUAGUGAUGAAAUGAGAAAAAAAACCUUUAUGUAAUAUUUCCAUAUUAAUUAUAAUGCUGACUUUGUUAAUGGUACUAGAGUUGAAGCUGCUCGGUAUUAGAUAUGCAAUGUUUGUGAAGGUACAAAAUCAUGUUGAAAAUAUCCAUAUUCAACAACCAUGUUUGACACAUAUGAUUCUCC
This 458-nucleotide long non-coding RNA is filed under the name Gossypium barbadense (sea-island cotton). Its description in RNAcentral is "long non-coding RNA (GBAR_LNC008749)". The record is from RNAcentral. Lineage: Eukaryota; Viridiplantae; Streptophyta; Magnoliopsida; Malvales; Malvaceae.